CCUACGGGUGGCUGCAGUGGGGAAUAUUGCACAAUGGGGGAAACCCUGAUGCAGCGACGUCGCGUGAGUGAGGAAGUAUUUCGGUAUGUAAAGCUCUAUUAGCAGGGAAGAAAAUGACGGUACCUGACUAACAAGCCACGGCUAACUACGUGCCAGCAGCCGCGGUAAUACGUAGGUUGCAAGCGUUGUCCGGAUUUACUGGGUGUAAAGGGCGUGUAGCCGGGAAGGCAAGUCAGUUGUGAAAUCCGGAGGCUCAACCUCCGAAUUGCAUUUGAAACUGUUUUUCUUGAGUACUGGAGAGGCAGACGGAAUUCGUGGUGUAGCGGUGAAAUGCGUAGAUAUAAGGAGGAACACCAGUGGCGAAGGCAGUCUGCUGGACAGCAACUGACGGUGAGGCGCGAAAGCGUGGGGAGCAAACAGGAUUAGAUACCCUAGUAGUC
RNAcentral lists this ribosomal RNA (440 nucleotides) under uncultured bacterium. RNAcentral describes it as "partial 16S ribosomal RNA". It matches the Rfam family "Bacterial small subunit ribosomal RNA", at positions 338 to 795 of the family's 1533-position model. The record is from RNAcentral.